RNA transcript from Benincasa hispida (wax gourd), 1831 nucleotides. It is a transcript of the gene named acyl-coenzyme A oxidase, peroxisomal-like, with no coding region annotated. The record is from RefSeq and is a predicted model, not a curated record. NCBI's taxonomy places the organism in Eukaryota, Viridiplantae, Streptophyta, Magnoliopsida, Cucurbitales, Cucurbitaceae.
UUUCACCAUUUUUCAUUUUCAACGCUCUAUUCUUUCUUUUCCCUUUCCUCCUCGUCCUCCUCCUCAUUUUCCUCUGAUUUUAGGGUCCUGAUUUCUGAUUCCUUGCAGUGAAACUUCUUUUUCUUCUUCCUCUUCUUCCAUCCUCCAUUUUCUUCCUUUUUUGAAUUGAAGUCCCAUGACUUCUUCUACUUCUGUCAAGAAGAACUUCUUGCCCCCGGCCUUGUUUCCAAUCUUGAAGAUGUUCUUCACAGCAGGAAGGGUGCUGAUGAAGAAUCCAAGGAUGUUAAAGCCAUACCUGAAAGCUUCGGAGAAUCCUGCUGAAAGUUCUAGUGAGGGUCAAAAUUCCACCUAGAAGCCAUCAACUGUGGACAAAAACAAAAAAGCCAAUAUAGGUGCCCAAGGAGGAGGUUAUUGGGAGAAGCCUACAUCCAGUUGGAAUACCAAGUAGUCUCGAGGCGAUUGCGACAGUGGAGAAGAAGGAGCUUGGGGUAAAUCCGGUUUUGCCGACGAUGGGAAGUCUUCAUUUGGUUGGGGUUGCUGAUUGAAUGGUAAUAUCUAAACUUACAUUUUGUAGACAAUGCAAAGGGAGUUUGGCUGUUAAGAAGUUUAUUUCUUCUAAGAACAUUUAUGAAUUAUUGUAUUUCUUUAUAACAUUUUGAAUAUUCUGGGUAAUGCAAAAAAAAAAAAAAAAAAAAAACUUUAGAACCCCACACUUAUUUCCGUUUUAAAACAUCUUUCAACCUUUCUUUUCCUCUUUUCAUUUGCUGUUAUAAGAGAAACCACUAUGCUUGUGAGAGAUGUUUAUUUCCCAAAUGGUGUGUCUUUAAGCAAGAACGAUUCAUUCUUUAUUUUCUACGAAGGGGGAAAAGGAAGCCUUGUUCUAGGCCUUCGUCACUACAGCUGCAAGUGCUUAAGUCUUUGGGGUGGCUUUGUUCUCAAGUUAGGAACCAAAAAGAACAGAGGCAAAUUCUUAUUGACAAUGUGGAUUAUCCUGGUUGUUAUGCCAUGACUGUACUUCAUCAUGGCUCAAACGUCCAGGGUCUCCAAACAACAACUAUAUUUGAUCCCAACACUGAUGUAUUCAUUAUUAAUACACCAAAUGAUGGAACCAUCAAAUGGUGGAUUGGUAAUGCUGCCGUUCAUGGCAAGUUUGCCAUUGUUUUCGCUAAGCUGGUGUUGCCAACUCAUGAUUAUAAAAAUGGGUGUCCACGCAUUUAUUGUUCUGAUAUAACUCUUGUAAAUUCUCAUUUUGUAGUUGGAAUCUAAUUUAGAGUCUUGAAAUUGACAUAUGACACAAGGUGAAAUGACUCCGACACAUAGAUCUUGCUCUAAACCAAGAUUGACAUAUGAGAUUGAAUCCGAAAACAAAUUUUUAAAAAAGUAAAAGAGAAUGUGAAGACGAAUGAUGUUAUGCAAAAGGAUAAGGUAAAUAUGGACAUGAUCAUUCUGAAUGAUGAACAUGAGAAUUUCAAGAAUGAGAGCAAAAAUGAACAAACUUUAGAGGACAAAGCUUCAAUGAUGGUUGCUAAGGAAAAGAUGUUGUCUGUGAGUCCACAAUCAAUUUGCCACUACCUUUAAAAUCAAUACUUAGGUUUGUUGAAAAGGUAAUGGCCAAAGAGUCUGCCAUUUCUUUCCAACUACUUGUUAAGCUGUUUGGUAUCAGUAGAAAGAGUUGUGUUUUGGAGGAGGAUAUUAUUGACUUCUGUAGCAUGAGGGAAGUUAAGAUUUCGACGUUGGUUGCAUAUAUGAUGUAAGUAAUAUGAUUUCAUUCGUUUAGGUACUCUAAUUUUUUAUAGGUACUCGUUUAUUAACUUUUAAUCUUUUAUAGGUA